Molecule: long non-coding RNA, 1568 nt
Organism: Salvia splendens (bonfire salvia)
Lineage: Eukaryota; Viridiplantae; Streptophyta; Magnoliopsida; Lamiales; Lamiaceae
Exons: 2
Source: RefSeq, a predicted model, not a curated record
AAAUAAUUUUGUCACGAUUAAUUAUCGGCCCAAAGAUUUAUUUAAAAGCCCAAGACUUAAUUAUUUACCUCACCUCUUACUUCUUAUUUAAUUUAAAAGCCCCAAUUAAACAAAUAAAGGAGCCCAAUCUAGCAACCAUCCCAUUUUAACUAAUAGGCCCAAGAAAAUAAGUAAAAGCCCAAAUUCUUUUAUCAAUACAAUUGCCCAAUUUUGACUCCCAUUUUCCCCAAAUCGGUCAACUCUCUCUCCCUCUAUCUUCUUUCUUCUCUCUCUACCCCCUCCCUCCAUCGCAGAAGCCCUCCCCCUUCCGUCGCUCUCUCUCCGGCUCGACGCUGCCGUCAGAGCUGCCGCGGCGGUCGCCAGGAAGUCGCCAGCUGCUGCUGCCUCGCCGCCUCUGUCCGUCCGCCGUCGCAGAGUCGCCGGGAGAAGCUGCUGCCGCAGCGAGGAGGAACGCCGCCGUCGCCCGCUGCAGCUCGAUGGUGAACCACCGAUGCUGCCCUCUCUCCGACCGUUCUCGCCAGCCGCCUCUUCGCCGGUUUCGACAAGCAAGAGAUUGUGAAUUUAUCCUCGGCAGAAGUGUGCUCCCAAGAUAAAACUCUCUAACCUUUUGAUUAUUAUUGAAUUCAUUUUGGGUUUUCACGUUUUUGGAUCUACUUCAGCAUUUCUUGUAAUUUGGAAGACUUGAAGGUGAAACAUACUAUUAGGCUAGGUGUUGUAAAUUCCAAAUUUAGGCAGAUUAUAUCUUCGAAAUUGUAUAUGCAUGCUUGUACAUAGAUGAAAGAAAAGAAAGGCUUGGUGUUUACCUUUUGAUGUGGGAACAAAGUAAAGUGUUGUUGGAUUGUAGAGUAUGAUCCUAUAAUCAUCUGAAAUACUCCCCCGUCCCUGAUUCUUGUUCUCCCAUUCAAUUUGUUGGUGUGUGUGAAGAGAAGUUUGGGUGUUCGAUACUUGUAAAGACUUUGGGGUUAUAUAUAGUUGUCAUCCUUGGACAAGUUGCAAGCUAUGAUAUAAAAAUCUCCUAUUUUGAUACGGUUUUGAUCUCUUGCACAGAUUUGAUAUCUUACUUGUUUACUUGGCAUAAUCUACCCCCUCAAUCUCCUUAACAAAUCUUGUUAUGAGAUAUGCAAAGAUGAUAUGCAUUAAAUGCAUACUACCCACUUGCAAUAUCCUUAUAUUUUAUUUGAUAUAAUGUGUGAGUUAAAGAAAAUUAUUUGCAUAAAUGUAUCUAUACAUAAUAGAUGGCAAGUGGCGUAUCCUUCAAAUAUUUUGUCAGAGAAAGAUGGCUUCUACUGCAAUCUAUUAAUGCAGCAUUUAAUGCAGUGUCCGAAAAGAUCGAUCCUCUAUGAUCUGCCCUCUUUUUUUUAUUAAUGUAAUUAUUUGAGUAUUUGUUCACUUGUUUAUUUAAUUGGUGUAGGUAUAAUCGGUUCAAGUUCGAGGCUGUCCUCGUUGAAGUACCCGAUUUUCUUAAAACGCAGGAUGUAUUAAAUUUUGUUGGACUUUUGUUGGAUGUAUCGGACAUCAAGAUUUUGAAUUUUAGGAUCUUAUUUAUUUAUUCAUUUAAAUUUAUUAUA